Gallus gallus (chicken) is the source of this 2086-nucleotide long non-coding RNA. NCBI's taxonomy places the organism in Eukaryota, Metazoa, Chordata, Aves, Galliformes, Phasianidae. The record is from Ensembl.
AUUCCAGUGCCCCGCGGCUGAGGGUGGUGGUCGGGGGAAGCAGCUGAGUGAGGGGAGGCCUGGGGCACAGCCCAGCUCAGCCCAGCUCCCGAGGAAGCCGCUGCGGGGCAGCCCGGAUUCCACACAGCACUGGUGGUCUGAGGAAAUCAGAAGACGGAAGUUUUAAAGUCAAGCUUUCCCUCAGGGGCUCUUUGUCACUGUGGUUUGCUUUUGUAUGGUAUCAUUCUCAUCUGUCAAAGUCUCGCUGCAAUUCUGGAGAUUCUUUUUGUCAGUUUUGUCUUCAAACUUGCUUGAGGAGAGGACUGAAUGGGAGGUUGUGCUCCCUGCAUAGUACCAGAAGACCGAAUUUAAGUCAUCCUGGAGCCUUAUUUUCUGCAAGUGAAACAACACCAGCUCCCUCAGCCUUUCUUCACAGAAGAGGUGCUCAGCCCUCUGAUCAUCUUUGUGGCUCUCCUCUGGACCCUCUCCAACAGCUCCACAUCCUUCUUGUACUGGGGGCCUCCAGGCCUGAAUGCCUUCAGAUGAGACCUCACAAGGACAAGGACAGAGGCAAUCACCUCCAUCACUCUGUGGCCAUCCUUCUUUUGAUGCAGCUCAGGAUACUGUUGGCCAUCCAGGGUGCAAGCAUACAUGCUACUGGCUCACGUCUGGCUUCACAUCGUCCAGAACCCCUAAGUCCUUCUCUGCAGGGCUACUCUCGGUGAGUUCUUUUCCCAGCCUAUAAAUGUAUCUGGGAUUGCCCAAGCCCAAGUGCAACACCACGCACUUGGCUUUACUGAAUCACAUUAGGUUCUCAUGCGCUUACUUUUCAAGCCUGUCCAGGUUCCUCUUGGUGACAUCCCAUCCUUCUAUCAUGUCAACUGCACCACUCAGCUUAGUGUCAUCAGCAAACUUGCUGAGGGUAUACCUGAUCCCUCUAUGUCUUUGAUAAAGAUGUUGAAGAGCACCUAUCCCAAGACUGAACCUUGGGGAACACUACUCACGACCGGCCUCCACCUGGACAUAGAGCCAUUGACCACAACCCUCUGGCUGCAACAUCUGAUGCCUGUAAUAAUAACAAAAUAUAUCAUCAGUUGAUUAUAAUAUGUUUGUCCCUUGGAGUCAGCCAAAAAGGCUUCAUUUUAUUCCUGUGAUCUUUGGCUCAGACUCUGACAUUUGCUAACAUCACACUAACAAGCAUUGCUUGAGUUUUGUGAAAACGAUCUGUAAGCUGUUUAUUUAUACUCUUAACUUACUUUUCUCUUAAAAAGAGGCACAUGCACCCUUAAAUCAGGCCAAGCAUGAGUUUAUCACUGUCAAAAAAGCCUAAAAAAAUUAUCUUUUGUUCAAGCAGCUUCGUAGAAGAAAGGAAUUUUUUUAGCUAUAGUGUUAACAAACUUGGACCUGCUGUUUUUAGUAGGCCUUUGUACAUAUUAUUUCAUUAGUUUGACUAAAGCAAGUUAAAAAUUUCUGACAAUUGGCACUAUCCACUUUAGGCUGCCAUUGCUCUUCUUCAUUAGAAGAAAAUUGACCUGUAGUUGUAGUCCUGGAUGUGUUUUCAGGUACUUCCUCUGCACAGAGGAACAGAUUUAGCGGCAGAUUUCAGCAGUGAUGUAGGCAUCAGCUACUUUCUAUCUUUACUUAUAAACAGGGCUGUCUGUACUAUUUUAUUUAGUGAAAAUACAGUGGUUUUGUCCAUGCACAAACAUGAUGUGCUGAAAAGCAAUUGAAAAUACUCCAAAGCUAUUAACUUUCAGUUUUAUAAUGUAAUUCCUCCGAUGGUCUCUUCUAACAUGUCAGGAAAUGUAUACUGAGAUAGACUUAAUUCUAAUUGAAAGAUACGAAUGAUGCUUGUGUUCAAAUUAAAGUACAUGAGGAAGCUCCCUAAUUAGGAUGUAAGCAUAAGGUUUUUUUUGUCAGGCUCACAGUUUUCUGAUAAGAUUUCCAAAUGUGAUUUUAUUACUGUUAUGAAGUAAGGAAUGAUUAUUCAGGUUAUUGUAAUAACCUAGCGAUGAAUGCUAAAGUUCUUUUUGAAAGGAGUGAACUUAGUUUAUAUUCUGUGCUUUUCCUGUAGUAACUUUCUUUAAAAUAAAUGUUCUGCUCUUCC